Long non-coding RNA from Pezoporus flaviventris, 322 nucleotides. RefSeq lists it as uncharacterized. The record is from RefSeq and is a predicted model, not a curated record. Lineage: Eukaryota; Metazoa; Chordata; Aves; Psittaciformes; Psittacidae. The transcript has 2 exons.
ACGCCAUUUCCUCGCCGGUAACGACUGCUUUAACCACAACACGCACCAGCUGCCCAGAUGCGAAGCGAUCCCAGGGUUCAAACUGCGAUCAGACAUGGAACAGACGUGCCUGUGAUGCCGGUUCAGCGCGGCGUAGCUGCUGAACUCAAGAAGUUCUUUGGGAUGAGGAAGUUUUGACGUGCACAAUGUGCAGAAGGCCCCUUAGGCUGCGUGAAUCGGUCAUUGUUGCAGCUUGAUUUCAUUGCUGACUUUUUGUGUACUUGCCCAGUUUCCAAGUGGGGCCCCAGUUUAUUUCUGUGCAGGAAGAGAAAUAAAUAGAUAA